GAAACGCGAUAGUUAAUGUGAAUUGCAGAAUUCAGUGAAUCAUCGAGUCUUUGAACGCACAUUGCGCCCAUAGGUAUUCCUUUGGGCAUGUCUGUUUGAGCGUCAUUACAACCCUCAGCUAACCGCUGGUUUUGAACCUGAACGGGUGACACCGCGCCGGUUUUAAAGUUGUAAGCUCUGCUGGCCGCUCUGCCCAACCAGAACAUAGUAAGCACUACUUGUCCGGGUGUAGCUGAACGGUACGGACUGAACAAAACCUACCCACUCUCAAGGUUUGACCUCAGAUCAGACAAGGAUACCCGCUGAACUUAAGC
This 314-nucleotide unclassified non-coding RNA is filed under the name plant metagenome. RNAcentral describes it as "partial contains 5.8S ribosomal RNA, internal transcribed spacer 2, and large subunit ribosomal RNA". The stretch from base 1 to 105 matches the Rfam family "5.8S ribosomal RNA", at positions 50 to 154 of the family's 154-position model. The record is from RNAcentral.